UACGAAGGUGGCAAGCGUUACUCGGAAUUACUAGGCGUAAAGGGCAGGUAGGUGGUUUGGUUAGUCUGUUGUGAAAGCUCCUUGCUUAACGGGGAGAGGCCAACAGAUACUGCCAGACUUGAGUAUGGGAGAGGUUACUGGAAUUCCCGGUGUGGCGGUGAAAUGCGCAGAGAUCGGGAGGAACACCAAUGGCGAAAGCAGGUAACUGGACCAUUACUGACACUCAGCUGCGAAAGCUACGGGAGCAAACAGG
This 253-nucleotide ribosomal RNA is filed under the name uncultured bacterium. RNAcentral's name for it is "partial 16S ribosomal RNA". It matches the Rfam family "Bacterial small subunit ribosomal RNA", at positions 524 to 776 of the family's 1533-position model. The record is from RNAcentral.